This 223-nucleotide long non-coding RNA is filed under the name Phoenix dactylifera (date palm). RNAcentral's name for it is "long non-coding RNA (PDAC_LNC008180)". The record is from RNAcentral. Lineage: Eukaryota; Viridiplantae; Streptophyta; Magnoliopsida; Arecales; Arecaceae.
CCGAUCAGUGCACAGAUCGCUUUUCUUAUGGAUGGACGAGACUCGAGUCCACAGUGUGGGGACACUGAAGUGAUAGUGCAGGUGCUUGUUAGAGAACAAGGGUACUGAGCGUGACCAAGACAAGAAGUCACUUGGAUGUCUAUCCACUCGUCAGUGACUUGCUUGAUGUUGCAGUAGUAUGACUGGUCCUUUGACCUGCGGUGCUUCGGCUGCUCACAGUGAG